ACGAACGCUGGCGGCAUGCCUAACACAUGCAAGUCGCACGAGACCUUCGGGUCUAGUGGCGCACGGGUGCGUCACGCGUGGGAACCUGCCUUUAGGUUCGGAAUAACUCAGAGAAAUUUGAGCUAAUACCGGAUGAUGUCUUCGGACCAAAGAUUUAUCGCCUUUAGAUGGGCCCGCGUUGGAUUAGCUAGUUGGUGGGGUAAAGGCCUACCAAGGCGACGAUCCAUAGCUGGUCUGAGAGGAUGAUCAGCCACACUGGGACUGAGACACGGCCCAGACUCCUACGGGAAGCAGCAGUGGGGAAUAUUGGACAAUGGGCGAAAGCCUGAUCCAGCAAUGCCGCGUGAGUGAUGAAGGCCUUAGGGUUGUAAAGCUCUUUUACCCGAGAUGAUAAUGACAGUAUCGGGAGAAUAAGCUCCGGCUAACUCCGUG
This 432-nucleotide ribosomal RNA is filed under the name uncultured bacterium. Its description in RNAcentral is "partial 16S ribosomal RNA". It matches the Rfam family "Bacterial small subunit ribosomal RNA", at positions 29 to 507 of the family's 1533-position model. The record is from RNAcentral.